UGGUGGAGUGAUUUGUCUGGUUAAUUCCGAUAACGAACGAGACCUUAGCCUGCUAAAUAGCUAGGCUAAUCUUCUGAUUGGUCGCCAGCUUCUUAGAGGGACUGAUGGCGUUUAGCCAUUGGAAGUUUGAGGCAAUAACA
This 140-nucleotide ribosomal RNA is filed under the name uncultured eukaryote. RNAcentral describes it as "partial 18S ribosomal RNA". It matches the Rfam family "Eukaryotic small subunit ribosomal RNA", at positions 1299 to 1458 of the family's 1831-position model. The record is from RNAcentral.